UUUGAUCAUGGCUCAGGACGAACGCUGGCGGCGUGCCUAACACAUGCAAGUCGAACGGAACUUCUUUAAAGGAUUUCUUCGGAAUGAAUUUGAUUAAGUUUAGUGGCGGACGGGUGAGUAACGCGUGAGUAACCUGCCUCCAAGAGGGGAAUAACAUUCUGAAAAGAAUGCUAAUACCGCAUAACAUAUAUUUAUCGCAUGGUAGAUAUAUCAAAGAUUUAUCGCUCAGAGAUGGACUCGCGUCCGAUUAGUUAGUUGGUGAGGUAACGGCUCACCAAGACCGCGAUCGGUAGCCGGACUGAGAGGUUGAACGGCCACAUUGGGACUGAGACACGGCCCAGACUCCUACGGGAGGCAGCAGUGGGGGAUAUUGCGCAAUGGGGGAAACCCUGACGCAGCAACGCCGCGUGAAGGAUGAAGGUCUUCGGAUUGUAAACUUCUUUUAUUAAGGACGAAGAAAGUGACGGUACUUAAUGAAUAAGCUCCGGCUAACUGCGUGCCAGCAGCCGCGGUAAUACGUAGGGAGCAAGCGUUGUCCGGAUUUACUGGGUGUAAAGGGUGCGUAGGCGGCUUUGCAAGUCAGAUGUGAAAUCUAUGGGCUCAACCCAUAGCCUGCAUUUGAAACUGCAGAGCUUGAGUGAAGUAGAGGCAGGCGGAAUUCCCCGUGUAGCGGUGAAAUGCGUAGAGAUGGGGAGGAACACCAGUGGCGAAGGCGGCCUGCUGGGCUUUAACUGACGCUGAGGCACGAAAGCGUGGGUAGCAAACAGGAUUAGAUACCCUGGUAGUCCACGCUGUAAACGAUGAUUACUAGGUGUGGGGGGUCUGACCCCUUCCGUGCCGGAGUUAACACAAUAAGUAAUCCACCUGGGGAGUACGGCCGCAAGGUUGCAACUCAAAGGAAUUGACGG
Molecule: ribosomal RNA, 908 nt
Filed under: uncultured Bacteroidota bacterium
Lineage: Bacteria; Pseudomonadati; Bacteroidota
Description: bacterial SSU rRNA
Rfam family: Bacterial small subunit ribosomal RNA
Source: RNAcentral